Molecule: ribosomal RNA, 253 nt
Filed under: uncultured microorganism
Description: partial 16S ribosomal RNA
Rfam family: Bacterial small subunit ribosomal RNA
Source: RNAcentral
UACGUAGGGUGCGAGCGUUAAUCGGAUUUACUGGGCGUAAAGGGUGUGUAGGUGGCUGCCAUAGUCGGGCGUGAAAUCCCGGGGCUUAACCUCGGGUUUGCGUUCGAUACUUGGUGGCUGGAGUGCGGGAGAGGGAAGUGGAAUUCCCGGUGUAGCGGUGAAAUGCGUAGAUAUAGGAAGGAACACCAGUGGCGAAGGCGGCUACCUGGACCAACACUGACACUGAGGUGCGAAAGCGUGGGGAGCAAACAGG